Molecule: ribosomal RNA, 253 nt
Filed under: uncultured bacterium
Lineage: Bacteria
Description: partial 16S ribosomal RNA
Rfam family: Bacterial small subunit ribosomal RNA
Source: RNAcentral
UACGUAGGCGACGAGCGUUAUCCGGAAUUACUGGGCGUAAAGCGCACGCAAGCGGUUGGACAAGUCUGGCGUGAAAUCUCCUGGCUUAACUAGGAGCGGUCGCUGGAAACUGUCGAGCUUGAGGCGAUGAGAGGGGUGCAGAAUUCCCGGUGUAGUGGUGGAAUGCGUAGAGAUCGGGAGGAAUACCAGUGGCGAAAGCGGCACCCUGGCGUCGUACUGACGCACAUGUGCGAAAGCGUGGGGAGCGAACGGG